RNAcentral lists this long non-coding RNA (26166 nucleotides) under Ananas comosus (pineapple). RNAcentral describes it as "long non-coding RNA (ACOM_LNC004535)". The record is from RNAcentral. Lineage: Eukaryota; Viridiplantae; Streptophyta; Magnoliopsida; Poales; Bromeliaceae.
UGGGAAUCGCCGGAGGCAUUCAAGCCAGAGAGGUUCACGCAUAGUUUGGAUCUCGAGUUCGCGGGAAAGGACUUCAAUUUGAUACCAUUUGGGGAAGGUCGCAGGAUCUGCCCCGGGAAGAACCUCGGGAUAAAAACGGUGGAGAUCAUGCUCGCCAACCUUCUUUACUCCUUCGACUGGGAACUUCCAACGGGAAUGACGAGGGAGGAUAUCAACAUGGAUGAGGCGCCGGGUGUUGCUGUGCACAAAAGACAUGCUCUCCGCCUUCUCGCCACUAGAUAUAGCAGCAUCAAUAGCUAAAAUAUAUACAUAAAUACACCACUGUGCAUCUAUGUAUCAUCUCUCGACAAUCUACCUAUAUUUAUUAUGUAUUUUACUAGCUAUCUUAUGUGUACAAUUUGCAAAUCAUAUGCUUAUACCUCACAACUUCUCAGGAGUACAAAAAUUAAUUUAUCAAUAUUUAAGAAUUGGGUAUAAUCACAUAUUCUACGUUAUUAUGUUAAGACAAUUAAUUUGCCACAGCAGUGUUUUAGAAAAAUUUGAAAGCCGAUCUGGCCUGACCUAUGCACCACUUUCAUGGAGGAAGUAUUUGGCUGUUGAUACUUCCGAUUGAAUAAAGAUUUAUUCAAUUAUAUAGGAUUUAAAAUGUUUGGAGCAUUUAAACGUGAGGUCGUUGUUUUAACGCAUUCAUCUAGGAUUUACUCGCUCAAAUAAAAAAGGACGGGGCGAGGUGGAGCACGACCACGGACCGACUUGGUCCGUUAGACUAGGCAGUGUUGGGCCGCUGUCGUUGAGCCCGUCGGCCCGAUGCUCGGCACGGCACAUGCUUCCUGGGCCCUAAGGCCUCUGCCUUUGGACCUUAAGGUAUGAGUUCCGAAGCUAGCAUUAAAUUAUGGGAUAGGCUAAAAUACAUACAAAUUAAAAUUUUAGCGGUCAAAUUUUUUUUAAAAUUAUGAUGGUACUAAAAUAAAAAAAUAAAAAAUAAAAAAUAAAAAAAUUUAGAAUUGAGAGAGCACUUAGUACCAAGAACUUUUAAAAAAAAUAGAUUAAUCAAUAUACUUUUAAAAUUAAAUAAAAAUAUAUCUUUUAAAUUUUUAUAUGUAAAGAAAUAUUAUACAAAUUAUGAAAAGUCUGAAAGCGGGCGUGGCCCCCCUCAACCCCCAUAUAGCUCCGCCUCUAAGUUCCUCCCUAGAAGCUCUCAUUCAAAAGUCUGCCAAUAAAGACCUUGGGAAGAAUGGGUUGGUCCAUAUUGGAUCAACGCAUCGUAUAAUUUUUAAAUUUAUAUUUUAAAAAAAUUUAAGAGACCGGUCCAGAGCACGGCCUGGUUCGACAAUCCAAACCAAAGGUCUGUAGUGACAGAGGCUUGGAAGAUCCAACCCUCCACGGCUCAGCCAGGAUUUCAAAGCCGAACCCAAUUCCUAGCCUGUUUUGGUAUGAAUAAUAUGAGUCGUGUUGCUUGACACGACCCAUAUUACACUCCUAUAUUUAUAUCACAUAUUUUUACCUCUUUCUUCUUUAUCUAUUCUUUUUCAUCAUUACGGUUGACAUAUUCUACUUCUCUCAUUCUACUUCUCACAAGGAAUGAAAUAAUUAAAUUAAGGUAAAAAUUUUAGUUACUCUCUGAAAUUAUUGUAACCAUGUUUUACAUAAAAUCAUGAGUGAAUUUGUUGAAAAUCAUAAAUUGGAGUCAUAGAUAAAUUUGUAGGAAGCAGGUAUUUUGGGGUGGGAAGUGAUAUGAGAGUAAGGUUAAUGUAGAAGAAAAGAUGUAACUUCAGUCUAUACUAUAAAAAUAUAAUCGAUAGACAAAUAAUGUGCACUUGAUAUUUUGUUCUAUCCGUUUCGUUUAUUUUUUUUAAUAAUAAAUUUAGCUGGAAAUAUGAAUCAAUUAGAAUUCGAACUUGAGAUUUCAGAUACUAACCACCAAGCCCUUUAUCACUUGCGCUAGGAACAGUAGAUUUUAUUCUGCUAAAUUGGAAGUGUUAUUCUUUUGUGCUCGAUAGAAUCAUGUCGCUGGCAUUAUAAUAGCAGAUCUUGUGGAUGUGUCGAAUUUCUUAGUGUUUGGUUCAGUGGAAAAUUAUGUGAUAACCUGUUUCUUGCAUAUAUGUCCUCAUGUGUAGGUAAUAAUUGUUAUUUUAUUUGAUGUUGACAUUGAUAUUGGAGCUGGAGCUCCUAUUUAAACUAUAAUAACAGAUGCGCAUAUUCUUUCUUGUAUUGCUUAAGCUCUGUAGUCUGGAAGUACAGUAGUUUCUUCGGUGCUUUCGCGAAUUUAUUAUGCAAUUAUGAUGCACAUAAUAUUGACAGAUACCUGGACAAGAAAAAAGAGCCUGAGGUGCAACAAUAGAUUCUGAAAGCAGGUUGUAUCUUCGGCUUAUUCAAUAAGAGGUGAUGCAACUGAAGCUUUAUGUUGUUCACAUUGCAAUUCGAAUUGUUUGUACUCUUCUUUUCAAAGAUCAUGCAACUUCACUGGUGUUCUCCUCCUAAAUCAAUUUAAACUGUGUUGCGAAUUUGUUGCUUUGUGGAUUUGCGAUUUUCUGUUGGUAUCCAAGAAGGGUUUGAUUCUUUAUUUUUUAAAUAAAUGUUUUAAAUAAUUGGAAUGACUAUAUGAAUAGUGUCAGUAGUAAAAUAACCGAUUUUCGUUUGGGCUUGUGUGUGAAAGUCUAGGUCCUAAUUUAUGCCACGGGCUAGAAGAUCAAAGAUUGUGCUGGAAGAAUUUGUAGAAAAAAUGUACGUGCACUCUGUUAUAGGAUGCACAUCUUCUAUCUUUUUAUUCUAGAGUUUAAUCAAUCCUUUUGAAUUCUUAGUAUAAAAAAAAUUGUAGUAUAAGUGAGUAAAUCCUAGUCGUGGAGAAAGUGGGGCGUAAAUCUAAUACCUUUAGCAUGCAGGUAGCAUUACUCAUUUCUUUAAUAUUGACUCUUACUAAAGUUGUAAUUUUACAAUUCAUCCAACAUAAGAAAGAAACAAUCUAGUGGGUUGUUUCUUUGCAUGCAGUUCCUACCGCAUGUCUAAUUGCUCGUGAAGCUAAUUUUAUUAUUUGAAUUGAUGUAUUGGAAACUGUAAGAAAAGAUCUAUAUCAAUAUAUAGAAGGUAAAAUUACAUCCAAAUUAGCUGCAAGUUUAGUUGCAAUAAUUGUAACAAGUAAUUUCAAAUAAGAAAUAAAGAUAUAUAGCAGCCUAAUCAAUUUUCAAACUAAACAAAUAUAGUUUCGUCUAUGACGGAUAUAAUCUCUUCAAUAUAUAUAUAUAUAUAUAUAUAUAUAUAUAUAUAUAUAUAUAUAUAUGUGUGUGUGUGUGUGUGUGUGUGUGUGUAGGGGGAUACAAUUUCUCAAUACAGUUACUAGUUAAAUGCAUCCAAAUUUAUAGAAUUUUUUACUAUAUUCAAUUAAACAAAAAUUUAUAACUGGGACUCUUAUAUUUUUAACUAUCUUAGAUAUUUUGAAUUAAACCGAAUCAAACAACCUUCAAGCGUAGCAGGGUCGUCAUCAUCAUUCUAGAAGAACCAAAGAUUGCGGAGAACAACAAUCCUCGGUGUCGUACGUUUCAUAUUUUUAUUUUUAUUUUUUUUUUAGAGAUAGAUACCACGUUACCCGCUUCGUUUAUUUCAUUUAGAAAUAAAUUUAGCUUGAAAUGUGAAUGAACUAGGAUUCGAACUUGGGUCUCGGAUACCAACCACCAAGCCCUUUGCCACUUGCUUCUAGGGACAGUCGGUGUUUCAUAUUUUUAUUGUUCUCAGUUUUUGUUAGUUUUUUUUAGGGAAAACUUCAAAAACUCCCCCUGUGGUUUCGUAGUUUCUCACUUUGCCCCCAUGUGGUUUAAAGUGUAUCAAUUUGUCAUCAUCUGGUUUCGUUUUUAUCUUUUCGGUAGCUUUUUCGUUAAUAUUUCGUUAAAUUAUAUACAAAAAACUUCAGAUAUUCAUCUAGAUUUAUCAAAUAUUCACUUUAGUACCCUUUAAUUUUAACUUUAUUACUGAUUUAAGGAAAAAAAAUAAUGAAAUUGAUAAGAAAAAGAGAAAAACAAAACCACAGGGGGGCAAAUUGAUACAUUUUAAACCACAGGAGGGCAAAGUGAGAAACUACGAAACCACAGAGAGGGUUCUUUGAAGUUUUCCCUUUUUUUUAUUUGAACAUAAAUUACAGUUUAUAUAUAUAGGAUUAGGUGACACUGGGGGGAGGGACUUAAUUAUGCUUCCAGUUGCUACUUAGCUUGUUAAUUAGGCAUGUUGAAAACAUCGAUCUCUUUGCAGAAAUGACGGAGAAGUAGGUGAGAUUUACGUUUUAUUUAUUUGGCCGGAGAAAUCCUUGGACGUUCGAGUUUAAACUUUAAACAAUGUGAGUGCAUACGAUUUGUCCAAUAAAUACAAAAUAACAACAAUAGAAAAUAGGCCCUAAUUUGAAUAUUCCUAGGGACGUCUCUAUCCAUCGUACGUGCUAAAAUAUAUAGAAGCAAUUUAUGCUAGACGCAUUAGUAAGCCGUAUUGGGCGUCAGCAGUCGCCCAACGGCAUUAAGGCUUAAUUUGGUAUUGAGAUGAAUCUAACGCUAUUAGAUAGAAUAGAGUUGAGAAAAAACAUAUAUAUAGGGAUAUGCUACUGCGUUCUCCGAUAGGACUGCAGAAAAUAUAUCAUAACCUACUAACUGCAAUAUACGGAACAUAAUAUUACGUACGGAAACAAACAUGGUAUUUUUUCAUCGUCGUUUCUCACUGCACGUAAUGCAAUGCCCCCGCAAUCCCAAACGAAACCUAAGUAAAUUGGAGUUAAAACAACCGAAUAGGGUAAUUACAUGCACUUUUGGUCCUCAAUCUCUGGGGCGUGUGAUAUUUUAGUUUUCGAAUUUUAAUAUGCUGUAAUUUCUGAUUCGAACCAUAAGGUGCAUUACACUUUAAUUUUAGAACUUUAAUUAAUUACAAUUUAUACUCGAACUAUAUAAGUAAUGUGAAGCUUUAGUUCUCGAACUUUUUGGAUUAUUAUAAUCAGGUUCCACAGCCUAAUUUUUUGAAUAAAUAUUGAUGAAUUAAUAAUAUCGAAAUGGUAUAGUAUUUUAAUUACUAUUGCUUCAUCAAGAAGUAUAUUACUACAAUUCAGAAAGUUCGAGAACUAAAAUCUUACAUAUUUCAUAGAUUGAAUAAAAAAUUAUGGCUAAUUAAGAUUGAAGAUUAAAGUGUCAUGUACCUUAUAGUUUGAUUUAAAAAUUAUAACUAAUUAAAAUUUAAAAACUAAAGUGUGUCAAGCGUCUUAUAGUUUUAGCUAAAAAACUUGAGAACUAAAAUAUUAUGUUCGUCAUUAUUUGAGGACCAAAAGUUUUAUUUACAUAGAAGCUCAAUUUUAUAUAUAUAGGAUAAGGCUAUUAUACUCUUAUGAGUAUAGAUUUUUUUGUACUCAUAAAUUUUUCGGCCAUUAGAUAAAAUAAUAUGCAGUGAGGAUGAUAGUAGUUCUCUAGGGUUGAACGGCCAGUUGGUUGAAUAGUAUGAUAAAAAAAAUGUGUUUAACGGCAAAAAAUUUUUGAGUAUAAAGAGAUUUAUACUCAUAAGAAUACAGUAGCCGAACUCUCUCUCUCUCUCUCUAUAUAUAUAUAUAUUAAUUUUUUUGUUUAAAAUUUAACCACUUUAAUGCACAUAAUAAUAAUAAUAAUAAUAAUAAUAAUAAUAAUAAUAUCUUUGCGGUAAUCCCAAUGGGAGCCUCCAGAGUCUUAGAAUUAGGUUGAUAUGGGAGAGAGAUUUCCUUUUUUUUUUAUGCACAGAAAUUUCACGCAUACACUAGCGGAUGGACUGGAGUAGAUUUUUCUAAUGCACGAGGUUGGACUGGACUGGAGUAGAUUUUUCUAAUGCACGAGGUUGGACCGAGAAAACCUGUCAAAAAUCACGCGGAUUACCACUCGAUCUCUAGUGCGCAUUUACGUUUCCAACUCGGAAUCCGUGAUUACAACAGCACAAUAAUUUACUACAUAUUAUUAUCAGCCUCUAGUGCGCACUUUAUAGCAGGAAUUGAAUCAGUACUAAAGAUAUAACAGCAUAAUAUUUAACCACUAGAUUAGGCCUUCUGCCUAAACAUGGUACGUAAUUAUUAUUAUUCAAAGCAAAAGUAUACAAAACAAAUAAAAUAAAACAAAAAUUUUGUCACAUAAGGAUAGCUCAUCUCAUUAUGCACGGGGCUAAUAAUAGAAAACUCCAAAUCUGAAUUUUUGAGUAGGGGUGCCGUUUUUUCUGGGCCCACAAGAUUAAUUUCUUCUCAAUCUGCACCAACUCGUGUCGUCUCCUUAUCGCCAACGUUAGCCAUCUUCUGCAUUAAUUGCUGAGUAAAAAGUUUGACUUCUUAUGGAUGGACAUGCAGGUACGGAGACGGAACUCCACGUCGACUAACAUCCAUCUUACACCGCCUUGAACAGGUUUUUGUUUUUGUGCUCAUUACGUAUCACAAUCACCUCUACAAGUCUUAUGCGUUCGUGUCGGACAUGCAUAUAUCCGAUAUAAAUACUCUUAGAACACUCGUUUAAUAUCGAUUCAUAAUAUAUACAAUUAAAAUAUAUAUAUAUAUAUAUAUAUAUAUAUAUUUAUUUAUUUAUUUAUUUUAUUUUUUUUUGCAUAUACAAUAUACGUUAAUAAAAUAUUUUAGUUUUUUUAUCAAUAUAUACAAUUUUUUUGACAAUAUAAAUAAAUUAUGUAUGAUGGAAAUUUUUUUUCUUAAAAUAUAUGAACUAUUAAUGAAAAUUUUACUAACUUUCAUUUAUAUGAAAAAUAUAAUAAUAUUUUAUCAAAAUUAAUAUUUUAUAUAUAAUAAAAAUAUAUUAUUAUAUUAAUAAUAUUGUAUUUUAUUAGCGGUGUUUAUGUCGUGUCCGUAUUUUAAUUUUUUAAAAGUUUCCAACUCAAGGUGUCCGAAUCGUGUUGUAUUUCGUAUUCUGUGUCAGUGUCCGUGACGUCUAAAUUUUCGUUUAAAUUUCACUAUUUUUUUUCUUUUUUUUUUUGUUUUGGUGGCUGGAGUGUCCGCAUGCGCACUGAUCAUCAUUCCAGUUUCUGCUGUAUUCCGAUAAUACAACAUCUUUUAUAUUUGAAGUUGCCGAAGUGUGUGACCGUUUUUCUCAUUCUCGCUGCUAUCGUACCAAUGGGUUUAAGCUGUUUGUCUCAUCAAAAUGUUUUCAGGGAUUAAGAGUUCAAAUUAACGAUCGAUAUAGUUAAAGUUAAUAUAAAAAAUUUAAAUGCCUGAAAAGUAAAUUUGUGGUUUUGAAAGUUUUUUAUAUCCUGAUGGAAAGAUGUUGGGUUUGAUUUUUUAUUAUUUUUUAUUCUAAUAAGUUAUUUGCUCAGUUAACUAACGGUGUAAAACAAUUCUAAUAUAUUAUUUUGUGAUAGAAUAUUUUUUUUUUCACCAUUUCUAUUUUGUUUGACAAUCCCGAUCUUUAAUUGAAAAGCUUUAAUCUCCAUUUACAUAACAUUAUUUGUUAGCAAUUGUUCAUUUUGUGGUCUUCAAAAGAUAAGAAUUUUUUUUAAAAAAAAAUCACACAAUUCAAUUCCUGAACACUUUAUUUGUUUUAGGUCAUGCUUGACGGUCUGAUUACUAAUUCAAAAUUUUUAUCUUUAAAAAUGGCGUAGGGGCCAUUUGGAACUGAGGCUUGUCCAGUACUAACCAGAAAGAUAGAGUUGGAAGAAAAUCACUUAAGGAUAUAUUUUUUUAUUUUUCAAUGAGAAGGUAAAAAAUAUAUUGUAAUCGAUUUUUUAUGAUACUGAUAUUUCAUAUAAAAGUAAAUAAAAUAUAUUUUUAUCGUUCUUUUAUAAUAUAAUUUUUUUGUAAUUUCAAAUGUCGAGACAAAUUGGUGUGGUUUUUCUGGGCCUAGAAGACCAAAUUAAAUAACAAAGGAGGAACGGAGAAACGGAUAAGAGGAAAACAUGCUGGCUAAUUAUUGUGGCGCCUCAAUUCUUGACUAGACUAGAAGGGACCCCAAAAGCAUUUGCCCUUUCAUUUUUUGGAUAGAUAGAAAUGGUGGGCUGAGCUUUUAAUUUCUUUUCAUAUUAUCAAACAAUUGAGCUAUAAAAAUUUGUCCUAUUAUAACAGGAUAAUAAUAGCUAUAAAAAUUUGUCCUAUUAUAAUAGGAUAAUGAUAGCUAGAUUCCACUUAUCUUUUCACCACCGCCUUCAAAUGCGAGAAAUUCUACACUGUCACGCUUACAUAACGUCAUCAAUAAUAAAUCAAUCAUAUUUUUUCUUUUUAAACAAAAGUACAAUAAAAAUAUUUUUUACAAUUAUGAUGAAACAUAUAUCCCUAAUUGGUUUUACGCCACGUCACUAAUAUACCCGUUGCAUUCUAUAAUUUUUCCUUCAGUGCACUCAUCAAUUAAUUAAUAACAAAAUAUAAAAAAUGCUAUAGGCACCUCAAAAUAUAUUUUGAAAUAUUAUUAACAUGUAAAUUUUACUUAAAAUUUUGAAAAUGAAACUAGGAUGCUAUUAAUUAUAUUUUUUAGGUUAAAAUCGUGGAAAUUUUAUCAAAAAAAGUACUUGAUUACAUCAUAUAUAAUUUUGGAAAUAACAUAAGCGCAUUUACAUACAAAGGAAGAGUAAAAACAUAAAUAUCUUCAAAACUAGAUAAAAGAUGAGAGUGAACAUUAACAAUUCCCAAACCUAAGAAAGAAAAGAAAAAAGAAAUAAAUAAAUAAUGAGCCGUCUUCGAAUCUGAAACAAAUAAAUCAAGCUCGUGACAAUGAAGUUCGUGACAGAAAAUAAAAUAUGAUAGAUGAAAGUAAUCAUUUAAUCUGUACGUACGCCCAUUCAAACUCAUGUCCCUCUAAUUAUACCAGAGCGUCUCUAUAUAUUUUCGAAUCUGUCAAUCUCUAGUAUGAAAAAUACUCAUGAGGUUUAUUGGGCCUGACAGAGUUAAAGAAGAUAGAAAAGAGCAGAACAAUAAGAAGAUGAGCUAGAUAAUUGUGCUACCAAGUUGUUUUCAAUGAUACGGUUUUCAAAUCGGCGAUCGGCUCCGUUACAUUUAAUCUACAUUAUUUAAAAUAUUUAAAAAUUAAAUUUCAUAAUUUUUUGACAUCGUUUACCUAUCAAACGAGUAGUCAAAAAACGAACGGCUGAAAAUAAAAAUUUCAUAAAAAAUAAUGAUAAAAAAUUUAAAUUUAAGACCAGAGAUACCGAUCUUACUCUAAAUAGUAAAAAAAAAAUUUAUAUAAAAAUUUUAUCAGAUUUGAAUUAUUUUACACUGUUAGAUUCACAUAUGCAUCACAUCGUUCAUUAAAAUUAUCAAUUUUGAGACAUUUUGAUCACUAGCCAAAUGAUAUUGAAAAAUUAUGAAAUUUAGUUUUCAAAUACUUUUAAUAUUGUAGAGCAAGUUUAAUAAAGCCGAUCGUCGAUUUGGAAGCCGCAUCAUUGAAAACAACUUGGUAGCACGAAAGCCUCCGUGUUACCGGUCUAACUUCAUAUAUAUAUAUAUAUAUAUAAUAAUAUAUAUUAUAUAUAUAUAAUUAUAUAUAUAAUAUAUAUAUAAUAUAAAUAUAUUAGUCUGGGUUGUUACUAGGAGUCCCAGCGGAGCCCUCCGUGCUCUUAAGUCGUUUUUGAUGAUAGAAUUUUCGAAUCGACGAUCGGCUCAGUUAGACUUAAUCUAGCUAACAUAUUUGAAAUAUCCAAAAAAUAAAUUUUGCGAUUUUUCGAUAUCAUUUAGCUAGCGAUCAAAAGGAUUCAAAAUCAACAAUUUUUAAUGAUUGAUGUAUACCAUUUGCAAGUUUAACGAUGUAGAAGUUUUCAAAUCAGAUAAAAUUUUGAUAGAAAAUUUGAUAAAAGUCCCUCCUGAGCUUCAGUAAUCAUAUAAAAUAAAAUUUAAAAAAAAGACAAAAGUAGAAAUAUGACCAACAUGAAACCUAGCUAGAGUGUGCUUAAUGAAUAAAGCAAAUAGCUUGCUACCUCUUUUUCAAAAAAAAAAAAAAAAAAAAAAAAAAAAAAAAAUAAAAAAAAAAACCUAGCUAGAGUGCAUAUUUUACACCUAUCCUAUAAGGUAUGUACAUGUACAUAGCAUUGCUCAUUUAUAUUGGUCUGUGCAAAGUGUAGUUUUGUGUAAUAAAUGUGGGUUGAAUAACAUCAGUAACUCAUCAAUCUACGUAAUAAAAUUUUUACACCAUCUAAAUAACUAUUUUGUGCCGCCAACAAUACUCCUCCAUAAUAAAUAAAUGAAAGGAGAAGCUAAAAUGAGGCAUGCGGAUACCACAAAUAAAUAGCAUAUGCAUGAACUCCUUUUGAGUCCGUACCUAACGGAGAGCACUCCAAAUUAAGUUUCUAUGGCUCUUCCUAACAUGAUUGCCUCCCUGCCUUUUGUUGUUCUCCUACUGCUCCCUCUUCUACUCCUCACAAGAAGAAAGGGGAGCAGCACAUCACUAAAACUUCCCCCGGCCCCUCCCAAGCUCCCAUUCAUCGGCAACCUCCAUCAGCUUGGAAUACUCCCCCACCGCUCCCUCUCUCGGCUCUCGCAGCGAUACGGCCCCCUCAUGUACCUAAAACUUGGCUGCAGGCCGACCGUCGUGGUGUCCUCUGCCGACAUGGCCCGGGAGAUCCUAAAGACGCACGAUCUGGAGUCCUGCAGCCGACCGUCCCUCACCUCGUAUACGAAGCUCUCCUACGGUGGCUCGGACAUCGGCCUUGCAGCAUACGGAGAGCAGUGGAGAGAGCUCCGAAGGAUUUGUAUCAUCGAACUUUUCAGUGCCAAGAAGGUCGCCUCGUUUCGAUCCAUUCGAGAAGAAGAGGUGGAAAGAACUAUGAGCUUCAUAUCCGACUGCUCAACCAGUUAUCUCCCUGUCGAUUUGAGCAAAGAACUGCUAGCGCUUACGAGCACUAUCACUUGUAGAAUGGCUUUUGGAAGGAGCUACCAUGAUGUUGGAAGCAGGUUUCAGGCAAUUCUGAACGAAACACAAACUAUACUCGCAAGCCUUUUCAUCGCGGACUACUUGCCGAUCAUCGGAUGGGCCGAUUGGCUCACAGGGAUGAGAGCGAGGCUCGAGAAGAACUUUAUCGAUCUUGAUCGGUUCUACCAGAAAGUCAUUGACGAGCAUCUCGAUACAAUGCGGCAGCAACGUGACUCUAGCGAAGACUUUGUGCAUAUGUUACUGCGCAUGCAAAAGAACGAGAAUAGUCUAACCACAGACCAGAUCAAAGGAGUCCUUAUGGUCAGUAAAAUGUUCGAUGCCGAAUCACAUAAAACAUUUUCCUAUAUUGUUCUACACGAGUGAGUUUACUCUUUUUUGCAGAAUGUUUUCAUUGGUGGGAGCGAUACGUCCUCAGCCACCGUGGAGUGGGCGAUGACGGAGCUAAUGAGGCACCCGCAAGCGAUGAAAAAAGCUCAAGAAGAGGUAAGAAGCCUCGUCGGGGGGAAAGGGAAGGUAGAGGAGAAGGACAUCGACCAACUGCGCUACCUCAAGUGCGUUGUGAAGGAGACCUUGCGGUUGCACCCGGUGGCUCCCAUGCUGAUCCCAAGAACAACGUUGCAGCAUUUCAAAAUCGAUGGCUAUGAUGUCCCGCCCAAUACGAUGAUGUACAUCAAUGCUUGGGCGAUCGGAAGGGACGGGAGCUACUGGGAAUGGCCGGAGUCGUUCAAGCCGGAGAGGUUCAUUAAUAGCUCGGAUCUCGAGUUCGCAGGUAAGGACUACAAUUUGAUACCAUUUGGGGAAGGUCGCAGGAUCUGUCCAGGAAAGAACCUCGGGAUAAAAACGGUGGAGAUCAUGCUUGCCAACCUUCUUUACUCCUUCGACUGGGAACUUCCAACGGGUAUGACGAAGGAGGAUAUCAACAUGGAUGAGGCGCCGGGCAUUGCUGUGCACAAAAGACAUGCUCUCCACCUUCUCGCCACCAGACAUAUAUAGCGGCAUCUAUAGCUAGUUAGCUACUAUACUAUAGAUAAUAUAAAAUUAGUAUUUACAAUAAAUAUUUUAGCCCUUGGAUGUCUAGAGUUGUCUAUUUGGGAGUUCUAUUAGUAUGGAUCUAAGAGCCAAAAGAUCUGUAAGAAUAACUAUUUCUCUACUAUAUAUCUAAAAUAUAGUAGCUUAACCGAGUGUGUGUAUAUAUAUAAUGCCUCUCACUGAGAUGUACUCUUAUUUAUCUAUCAUUGUACAUCUAUCUAUCAUUUUUCUAUCUACCUAUAUCAAUUACGUAUCUUACUAGCUAUCUUAAUUGUACAAUAUGCAAAUCAUAUGUAUGUACAAGCUUGAUCUCACACCUUCUCAGGCGUACAAAAACUAAUUUAUCAAUAUUUAAAAAUAGGGUAGAAUCACAUAUUCUACGUUAUUAUGUUAAGACAAUUUGCUACAGCAGUGUUUAAGAAAAAUCGAGGAAGUAUUUGGCUGUUGAUACUUCCGAUUGAAUAUUAGUAUACUAAUUAAAUAAAGAUUCCUUCAAUUAUCAAGGGUUUAAAAUGUUUGGAGCAUUUAAACGUGAGGCCGUUGUUUUGAUGCAUUCAUCUAGGAUUUACUGGCUCAAAUAAAAAAAGACGGGCCGAGCUGGAGCACGGCCACGGACAGGCUUAGUCCGUCCAUUAUUACACUACCUAUUGUUGGGCUGCGGCCGUUGAGCCCGUCGGCCCGAGGCUCGACACGGCACGAACUCAAGGCCUUUGCCUCAGACCUUGGGGUAUUAGUUCCUCCCUAGACGCUCUCCUUCCGAAGUCUGCCAAUAAAGACCUUGGGAAGAAUGGGUUGGUCCCUAUUGGAUCAAAACCUCGCAAUUGGUCAGCUUUUUUAAAAAAAUUAAAAAUUAAAAAUAAAAAAUAUAAUUUUUUAAAAAAUAAAAUAUUCACUAUUUUAUAAAUUUUUUUCUAAAUUUCAAUUGCUUUGAUCAAAAUAUAAAUUUAAAUAGGAGUAAUUUAAUUUUUUUAAUUUUUAUUUAAAAAAAAUAAUAAUAAUAAGAGACCGGUCAGCCUGAUUUGACAUGGCCAGUGACUUUCAGACCAGAGGGCCGUGCUAGGCCAGAGGCUUGGAAGAUCGACCCUGCACGACUUGGCCAGGAUUUGAAAGUCGAACCAACUCCUAGCUAGCUUAUUUUGAUCUGAAUAAGGAGGUGUUCGGCUUAGCUUUUAAAAAGCUCUUUUGGGUUGAAAAGUGAUUUUCGGCCCAAUAGAGCGUUUGGCAAAUUUAUUUUUAAAAUCUGAUUCUGCUUCUCAGAAUCAGAAAACUGAUUUUGAAGGCCCAGAAUCAGAAGCUGAAAAAAGCUGCUUCUUGAAAACUGAUUCUAAUUUUGGACUCAAAUAUUAAAUUUUUAUUUUUAUUUUAAAUUCAAUGUUUAAAUUAAAAUUUAAUUAGUUUUUUGUGCAUAAACGUUAUAUAGUUUUUACAUUGAUUUUAAUAUCAAACUUUAGUACUAUAUUUAUAAUUCGAUAAGCGAUCAAUUUUAUAUUUAAAAAUAUUCAAAAUAUGAUGGUGGACUUUUAAUUCUAACAAAUAAGUAUUCUAGAAUUUAUUAAAUAGUUUAAUAUAUUCUUUUUUGAAAUGAAAUUAUUAAUUGAAUAAAAUCGAUGGACGCUCAAUUCUAUCUUUGUCUGGAAUAAAAUUAAAAUAUAAAAAAAAAAAUUACGCUUUUGAUCCUCAAACUAUAAGGCAAGUGGCAUUUUAGUCCUCAAAUUUUAAUGAGUUAUAUUUUCUUGCUCAAACUAUGAGGCAUAUAAAGCUUUAGUUUCUAAAUUUUAAUUAGCUGCAAUUUUAGACUCGAACUAUGAAAUAUAUAAUAUUUUAAUCUUCAAUUUUCACUGUUAUUAUAAAUAUAAUUUAUUAUUUUUAUAAUUUUUUAAUUUUUUAUCAUUCAUAUAUUUUAUUAUAAAUAUGUAGAUCGAAGGAUUUGGAGAUUUUUUUUUUUUUAUAUGAAUCCCAUCUAAUUCUUCUCGUUUAUUAUAAAAAAUUUAAAUAUAUAUUUUUUAUGAAUAAUUUUGAAAUAAUUUUAACUAUAUGUAUUAAAUAUAAAUUUUAAUUUUAUAAUAUUGAUCACUUAGAUAUAAAUCGUAUAAUAAAAAAUAAAAAAAAUUGAUAGAGUUUAAAUUAUUUAUUUAUUUUAACAAAUUUAGUUGUGAGAAUCAUAUGAAUUAUAUUAACUAAAUUUAUAAAGCUAAACGACGCAUUUAAAUUUUAAAGUCAAAGUAUUAUUGACUGGCUCAUAUUUAAUAUAUAAAAAAGUUGGAUAGUAAAAAUAAAAUUUUGAAAGCUUGAAUAGCUAAUUUAAAAUAAUUCAUAGUUCAGAAAUACUUUGUAUAUUUUAACUUUAAUUUUAAUAUCAAUCUUCGAUGCCAUAUUUAUAGUUUAAUGAGUGAUUAAUUUCACAUUUAAAAUUUUUUGAAAUAUUCAAAAUAUGAUUGGUCGACUUUUAAUUUUAACAAUUCGGCAUUCUAAAAUUUAUUCGAUAAUUUAACAUUCUUUCCUCAUAUGACUUCGUUUGGAAUAAAAAUAAAACAUAAAAAGAUAAAUUACACUUUUGGUCAUCAAACUAUAAGAUGCGUGAAACUUUAGGCCUCAAAGUUUCAUGUAUUACACAAUUUCUUGCACAAACUAUAAGGCACGUAAUGUUUUAGUCCUUAAACUUUAAUUAGUUGUAAUUCUUGGUUCUAAUUAUAAGGCAUAUAAUAUUUUAAUUCUCUACUCUUACUGCUGCUAUAAAUAUAAUUUAUUAUUCUUAUAAUUUUUUUCUUAUUUAUUUUAUACUUCUUAUAUUUUUAUUCUUAUAGUUUUACUAUAACAGCUGUUGUGUCUUCUUCAACUUCUUUUAUUUAUAUUUUAUUUUUAUUCUUUAACUCUUUUUUUAUUUCUUUCGUUGUUUCUUUUUUUUAGCUUUAUUUUUUUUUGUAAAAUUUUUUAUCUUUAUUUAUUUAUUUAUUUUUGUGGAAUCGAUUCGCUGCAACGCGCGGACACCUUCACUAGUAGUAUAAUUAAGUCUUACAAAAAAAAUGAUUGCAGCACAUCGUAUGUGAUAACUAGAGUGAGGCUGAUAUAUAUGCUUUUGGAAAUUCGGAACCCUCCGUACUUUCAAGUCGUUUUCGAUGUUGGAAUUUUCGAAUCGACGAUCGACUCCGUUAGACUUGAUUUAGAGUAUUUAAAGUAGCUAGAAAAAAAAUUUUGUGAUUUUUCGAUAUCAUUUUCCUAAUAAUCGAACGGGCUCAAAAUCAAUAAUUUUAAUGGCCGUGGUGAGUCGUUUGCAAAUUUAAUGGUGUAAAUAUUCAAAUCACGUAAAAUUUUGAUAGAAAUUUUUUUAUACUAUAUAAAACAAAAACAAUUUCUGAUCUAAAAUUUCAAAGCCAUAUCAUCACAUUUUGUAAAAUUUUUAUUUUCAGCCGUUGAUUUUGAGCCCCUUCAAUUACUAGGCAAAUGAUAUUGAAAAAUCGUAAAAUUUAUUUUCUAUAUAUUUCAAAUACUCUAAGAGCAUGUUUGGUUCACCUAUUUUAGAUUAUGGAAUCGGAAUGGAAUUCAUUGAUUCCGAUAGUUGCCGUUUGUUUUAUAGAAAUCGGAUUCCAAUUCCCAUUCCACUCCGGAAUGGAAAUGGCCAAAUCUAUUUAUAAUCCAAUUCGGUUUUAAAUUCCGGAUUGGCUCAUUCCAAAGUAAACUAUUUAAAAUUUUCUUUCAUCAACACCUACCUCCUCUCCCUUCAUCACUUUUCUCUCUCUUAAUCAAAAUCCUCUUUCAAAAAUUUUAAAUUUUCAUUUCGAUUUCCAUUCCAAUAAUGAACCAAACAUUUUUGGAUGAUUCGUCAUUUCAUUUCCUAUUCCAAAACAAUCCAAUUUUAUUUUUCAUUUCUAUUUCAAUCAUGAACAAAACAUGCCCUAAAUUCAAUCUAACGGAAUCAAUUGUAAAUUUAAAAAUCUCACCAUCAAAACGACUUAAUGGUACAUAAUAAAAACGAUUUGAUAGUACGGAGAUGUACGGGUGUGAUUUAAUUCUUUUCUGGGGCCCACUAGAUUUAACCUAGUGUGUGCCAGUUUCAACAUGCGUCCUCAUUUCUCCAUCCACUACGUAGCAAUUGCUAUCUUCUAUAUUCAGCGCGUGAGACUGUGAGAGCAACUGCAUAAAAGGAGUCAGAUACGUAUACAAGUGUCCCUGAUUUGAUAUACUGUACCAAUAUUCUAAAAAUAUAGGUAGACAAAAAAAAAAGUGUAUGUUCUGCCCAUUUAACUUCGAGUCCGAUACGAAUGAGUAUUUAAAUUAUUAAUAUAUUUAUCGGAUCUAUUUGAACAGAUUUGAAUAGUAAAUAUUUGUUUACUAUCCGCUUAAAAUUAGGUACGUAUCGGAUACGUGUUAAAUCUAGAUCAAAUAUAUGUACCCGCAUGCGUAUUUUUUUUUAUAGACUAUUAAAUAAUUUUUGAAAAAAUCAUAAACUUUUUAUUAUAGAAAACUCGCAUUCUAAUGAGUUGCACCCAGGUAGAGAGAUCGGAGAGGUAAAGAGAGCGGCUAGAGUUUGAUUUUUUUUCUUUUUUUACUUUGUUCCUUAAUUCCAGCAAUAAAUAGAGAUUUCUAUUUAGAGAGAAAGAUUCAAACAGUAAUCAAAAGUGGUUAGAACUAAAAAAAAUAAGAAGUAAAAAAAAAAAAAUUUAAAAAAGAAUAAGCAUAACGGCUAGGUUUCACUGAGAUGAAAAUGCACAAAUACCCUUUAUCUAUAAGUUCUAUAAAAAUUAAUCCCUCAACUUUAAAUUUUUUUUAUUUACUAUUGCAUAUUUCACUCCGAAUCAGAGUUCGGAUUUAAAAACUAUUCCGGACCGGUCGGAUCCAAGUCCGACCCAAAAUUUUCAUGAAUUUUUUUAUCCAUAUAUUAUUUAAAUAACAAAAACGUGAAUAAUUUAGGCCUCCUCUAAUAUCUUCUUAAUUUUUUUUAAUAUUAAUUUUAUAUAACUAAUAUAUUGAUAGAAAGAUUCUUUUUUUCCUUCGUAUUUUUAUAAUUGAUUAACUUGGAUAUAAACAAAACAUCCUAAACAUAAUAUCCGUAGGCAAGAACCACAAAAAUAUAGGAGCCUUAUCCAUAUGGAAAUGAUUUUGCAACCAACUUUUAUUAAUAGAUUCAACUAUAGUAUAUAAAUACAAGGAUAAAUCAAAACAUGUAGCCUUUAUGAGUAGGGCACAGAAUUACGACGUGUAGAGCAUGAACAAAAUUUUAUGGGCCCCAGACAAUUUUACAUUUUUAUGGGCCCCAAACAAUUUUAUUUGGGGAUUGCUCGGAUGGGCGCUGUGUGGCGGGUGGCGCUCAUCCGAGCCACCCAGCAAAAAUAGUUGAAGAGAGUCUCCACGCCAGUUGAAGGGGUCUCCAUGUCAUUUUAACACAGCAAAGGGUCGAAUGGGAGGAAUUCUACAUUGUCACACUUGCACCACGUCAUCAAUAACAAGCCAAUCACAUUCAUCCUUUUCAAACAAAAGUACAAUAAAAAUACUUUUUUACAAUCAUAAUGGGACAUAUAUUCUUAAAAGGAUUAAUUUGAUUGGUUUGUUACGCCACGUCACUAAUAUACCCGUUGCAUUCUAGAAUUUUUCGUCGAAUGGGCACCGCUCUCCGCACGGCGCCCAUCCGAGCAAUCUUCAAACCUGUUUGAGCAUUAUGUUCAUAAAAUUUUUAUGCGUACAGCACAAAUUGGGUUAUCUUGAUGCCUACCCUGCUACACAUGAGUUUUUAUGUGGGCUAGAGUAUCCGCCAUAUAACAAUCGUACUAGUGAAAUACUCACGCGAUGCUGCAGAUAUAAAAAUAUUUUUAUAAUAAAUUUUAUUUUUUUAAUAUGUUUAUAUAGUUUUAUAAGUCUAAUUAUUAAUAAAAUAAAAAUUAUAAAAAAUAAUUUAAUCGUUAAAUCUAUUUAAAUAAAAGUCGAUAAAAUCGGUAUAUGUGCAAAGUAAAUUUAUACAAUAAUUUAUUUUAUAAAUAUUUAUAUGAAAAUAAUUUGAGAUAAAUCUAUCAAAAUAAUUAAAAAAAUCAAUAAAUAGAAGAAAAAUAAAAAUGUAAAAGAAAUUGUUUAAUAACAUUAAUUAUAUAUACAUAGAAAUACAUUAUAUUUCGAAAAUUUUACUUCUAAAAUUUAAAUGCUCUAAUUUUUUUAUACAACGAUAUUUUACUUGAUUUAAAUUGUAUCUAUUUGGUUAGAUUUUAUUACGCAAUUUAUUAUGCGUAUUAUUAAUAAAAUUAAUUAACUAUAUUCAUAGAAUUUAGAGAUUUAAAAUUUAAAUUAAUUUCAUAGAGUUUAGAUAUUUAAAAUUUUAAAUUUUAAAUUUUAAAAUUUGAAAAUAAAUAUUAUAAAUGAAAUAUAAAAUAUAAAAUUUGAAAAUUUGGAAGUAUCAAAAUUUUAAAUUUUGAUGUCAAUAUAUAUAUAUAUAUAUAGAACUAGACUACUAUCCUAUUAAUAGCAUCAAGUCAUUUGUGCUACCAAGUUUUUGGUCAUUGGAUUAAGAGACGUACGAUUAGGAUGAUGUGGGCCCCAUACCCGACCCAAUUCCACCCGCUACCAGGGAUCAUAAGUGCGCUUACUGGUGGUGCGCUUGUACGGAUACACCGGGUGCACGUAUUAAUUUCCCUCUCGAGCAAGAGACCCCGUAGACGAGGGUUCUGGGGAGAGGUUUUAUCUCCUCGGCGCGAAGAAUCGCGGGGCACGACUCUGUUAUAUCCCCGGACAAUCCGCAACCACCGAUGAUGAAAUUGCUCUGAGGUCGGAUGGCGGUAAGGAUGAUGGGUGCUUCCGGCAGCGACGCCCGAGGUAAAAGAAAUGUAAGUNUAUAUAUAUAUAUAUAUAUAUAGAGAGAGAGAGAGAGAGAGAGAGAGAGAGAGAGAGAGAGAGAGAGAGAGAGAGCGUGUGUGCUAUUAGGAGCAGGAGGCCUCCGUGCUUCUAAGCCGUUUUUGAUGAUGGAGCUUUCGAAUCGACGAUCAACUUCGUUAGACUUGAUCUAGCAUAUUUGAAGUAUCUAGAAAAUAAAUUUUGUAACUUUUCGAUAUCAUUUACCUAACGAUCGAAAGCGUUGAAAAUCAACGAUUGAAAAUAAAAAUCUCACAAAAAGUUGUGAUAUAGUAUUAAAAUUUUCGAUCAAACAUAUUGAUCUUGCUGUAAAUAGUAUAAAGAAUUUUCUAUCAAGAUUUCAUCUGAUUUGAAUAUUUCUACAUCGUUAUACUUGCAAACGGUAUACAUCAACCAUUAAAAAUUGUUGAUUUUGAAUUCUUUCGAUCACUAGGAAAAUGAUACCGAAAAAUCACAAAAAUUAUUUUCUAAAUAGUUCAAAUACGCUAGAUCAAGUCUAACGGUGCCGAUCGUUGAUUCGAAUGCUCUAUCAUGGAAAACGGCUUAGGAGCACGAAGGCCUCCGUGCUCCUAAUAGCACACAAGACCUACUAUAUAUAUAUAUAUAUAUAUAUAUAUAUAUAUAUAUAUAUAUAUAGAGUCCGGCUACUAUACUCUUAUGAAUACGAUUGCCCUCAUACUCAUAAGUUGUUUUUGAUGAUAGAACUUUCGAAUCGACGAUCCAUACCGUUAAACAUUAUCUAGAGGAUUUAAAACUUCUGGAAAUCAAAUUUUAUAAUUUUUCGACAUCAUUUACCUUACGAUCAAAAUCUCACAAAAUUAAUAAUUUUUAGCAGCUGAUAUGGGAUAGUUGCUAGUUUAACGGUGUAAAAGAAUUAGAAUAUGUUGAAUUUUUUAUAGAAAAUUCUAUUCACUACCUAGAUAAAGAUUAAUAACUCCGAUCUUAAAUUAAAGAAUCCGAUCAUCCAUUUUUAGGACGUCGUUUGAUUUUGACCAUUCAUUUUAUGUCCGUUUGAUGGGCUUUAUUAUGAUUUCGAAAAAUUACGAAAUUUAUUUUUUAGAAGUUUCAAAUACUCUAGAUCAUAUUUAACGGAGUGGAUCGUCGAUUUGGAAGCCCCAUCAUCGAAAACAACUUAUGAGUACGAAGGGUCCAAUACUCAUAAGAGUAUAGUAGCCCUAAUAUAUAUAUAUAUAUAUAUAUAUAUAUAUAUAUAUAUAUUAAAGUAGAACCCUUAGUGUAAGAUUAACAUGUGUCUUUCUAUAUACUUGUCACGUGUCAAGCUCAAAUAUAGAAUAACAAUUUUAUUAGAAACACUAUUAAAUCAAAUUAUACCAAUUAAUUAUAAUUAUAUAUACAAUCAAAUCAAAUUAAAUCAAAUAAAGGUUUAUCAUGCAUCUUUCUAUAUGGUUGCCGCUUGUCAAACUCAAAUAUAGCAAUUAGAUGGUUAAAAAUAAAAUUUUAUUAGAAAACAAUAUUAAAUCAAAUUAAAUAUAAUUAUAUAUACAAUUAACAAAAAAUUUAUUAGGAAACACUAUUAAACACUAUUAUUAUAAUUAUACUCAAAUAUAUAUAGAAUAAAAAUUUUAUUAGAAAACACUAUUAAAUCAGAUUAAAUCAAAUUAUACCAAUUAAAUAUAAUCUAUUCUAUUUACUACAUACUAAAGUAGAACCCUUGGUAUAAAAUUGACAUGUGUCUUUCUAUAUGUUUGCCACGUGUCAAACUUAAAUAUAGAAUAAUAAUUUUAUUAGAAAAUACUAUUAAAUCAAAUUAACAAAUUACACCAAUNCUAAAAUUUUAUUACAAAACAAUAUUAAAUUAAAUCAAAUCAAAUUAUACCAAUUAAAUAUAAUUAUAUAUACAAUUAAAGAGAAUUUUAUUAGGAAACACUAUUAAACACUAUUAAAUUAAAUUAUAAUUAUAUAUACAAUUAACUAGAAUUUUAUUAGGAAACACUAUUAAACACUAUUAAGGCUUAGUUUGGCAUUGAGACCUAUCUAACGGUAUUAGAUAGAAUAGAGUUGAGGAAAAAGCAUAUAGGGAUAUGCUUCUGCGUUCUCCAGUGGGACCGCAGAAAAUAUGUUGUAACCGACUCAUCGCGAUAUGCGGAACGCAAUAUUAGUUACGGAAACAAAUAGGGUAUUUUUCCAACGUAUUUUCUCACCGCACGUAACGCAAUUUCCUCAAAAUCCCAAACGAAGCCUAAAUCAAAUUAUAAUUAUAUAUACAAUUAAAUUAAAUUAAAUCAAAUUAAAUAUUUAUCAUGCAUCUUUCUAUAUAUUUGCCAUAUGUCAAACUCAAAUAUAGCAAUUAGAUGGUUAAAAAUAAAAUUAUAUUAAACACUAUUAAAUCAAAUUAAAACAAAUUAUACUAAUUAAAUAUAAUUAUAUAUACAAUUAACUAGAAUUUUAUUAGGAAAUACUAUUAAACACUAUUAAAUCAAAUUAUAAUUAUAUAUACAAUUAAAUCAAAUUAAAUGUUUAUUUCAAAAAUUAUAAUUUUUCAAUAAUUCAACUCUAUCAUUUUAUUUUUUAAAUAAAUUUAGAUUUUUUUCUAAAAAAUUUUACUAAUAUUAUGAUAUUUAUUAUUUUACUUAUUUAACAAAUUAUCUAUAUUGCUAUUGGAGCAGAUACUUUUCAUCUUCAUGCAACAAAAUUUUUUUUUUCCUUCAUAUUUUCUUGAAGAUCAACAUCUAUAUUUAUUUGAAUCUUGAAAGUUGGUAUAUUUCUUAUAUAUAUACGUGUGCUUACUUUAAUUUGUGUUAAACAUGAAAGUUUAGUUGAUCUCAUUAUAUGCUUAAAUAUUAAUGUCGUUUGUAAUUUUUCAUAUCAAUUUGAGUUUUCAUUUUGUUUUGCACAUCAAUAUGUAAAUAUAAAUUAUUUCGCAGACUAAUUCAUAGAUAAUAGAGUAUGGUUGAAUUUUGUUCUUUACUUUGGUCCAUAAUGUAGAUAAAUAGAUUUUCAUUUUCCGCCAAAAUAUCUUGUCCUAGUAAUAUACCUCUUAUUGUUUUAGUCAAAAUUAUUGAGGUGUGCCCCACCCAUGUGGCUUGUUAAAGCCAACUCUUCGGGUCUAUGUAAAGUGUGGUGUUGUUUAAUAAUUAGGGUUGAAAGGCAGAGCAGUAUUACGUCAAAGUCUUUUUUUGUUGGAAAAUUAAAAAUUAAAAAUUAAAGAUUUUAUUUUGGGAGACAAAAAUAUAUUUUAACUGUACUGCUGCAGUAUCUAGUUAAGUUUUUGCGGCUAAUUAAAGUCCUCUAUGAUUUAUGUGGCUGAAGUUGAAAAUAGAAGUCAAACAUGGGGGGCGCAGAUACUGUAAAUACAUAGCAUACGCAUGAACUCUUUACUUCACACCUGAAGCACCUCCAAAUUAAGUUUCUAAUGGCUCUUCCUGACAUGAUUGCCUCCCUGCAGCCUUUCCUUCUUGUUCUCCUACUGCUCCUUCUUCUACUCAUCGCAAGAAGAAACAAGAUCAGUCCAUCACUAAAACUUCCCCCAGGCCCUCCUAAGCUCCCAUUGAUCGGCAACCUCCACCAGUUAGGGAGUCUCCCCUGGCGCUCCCUCUCUCGGCUCUCGCAACAAUACGGGCCUCUCAUGUAUCUAAAACUCGGCAGUAGGCCGACCAUCGUGGUCUCCUCUGCCAACAUAGCCCGGGAGAUCCUAAAGACGCACGAUCUGGAGUCCUGCAGCCGACCGUCCCUCACCUCGUAUGCAAAGCUCUCCUACGGAUCCUCGGACAUCGCCCUUUCAGCGUAUAGUGAGAAGUGGAGAGAGCUCCGAAGAGUUUUCAUCAUCGAACUUCUCAGCAGUAAGAAGGUCGCCUCGUUUCGAUCCAUUCGAGAAGAAGAGGUGGAAAGAACUAUGAGCUUCAUAUCUGACUGCUCAAACAGUUCUCUCCCAGUCGACUUGAGCAAAGAACUGAUAGCGCUUACGAGCACUAUCACCUGUAGAAUGGCUUUUGGAAGGACCUACCAAGAUGUUAGCAGCAGGUUGCAGACGAUUCUAAAAGAAACGGUUGUCUUGCUCGCGGGCUUUUUCAUCGCAGACUACUUGCCUAUCAUCGGAUGGGCCGAUUGGCUCACAGGGAUGAGAGCGAGGCUCGAGAAGAACUUUACCGAUCUUGAUCGGCUCUACCAACAAGUCAUCGACGAGCAUCUCAAUACACUGCAGCAGCAUGACUCGGGUGAAGACUUUGUGCAUAUAUUACUGCGAAUGCAAAAGGAUGAGAAAAGUCUAACCACAGACCAGAUCAAAGCAGCCAUUUUGGUAAGAAAAAUUUUCCAUACCGAAUCACAUAAAACAUUUUUCUUUCGAAAGAAAUCAUUUAUAAAGAACAAUAAAUGUAGCAAUAAGUAUGUAGGCCUAACAAUCUCUAUUCAUACUCUAGGGUACUCAGGAAUUAUCAGUAGAUUUGCGGGUAUUGGGCAUUAAUUAUUUGUGUCCAAAAAAUUAGUGGCAAAAUAAGUAGGUUCAAAUAUUUGGAGGAUCACGCAUACCAGCAUAUACAUAUAUUUUUUUUAUGAAAUAAGUGAAUAUUUAUUUUAUUUUAUCUUAUCUCUAGGAUUGUAAUUUUAAUUUUUCUUAGUGUUAUUUUAAAACUCUAUAUUAUCUUCUAUAUAUUGUGAUAAUUUAAAGGCCUAUUUGUAUAAAAAAAUCCAUAAAUUUUGAGAUUUUGCCAAACUGGGCCGCCUUUUUUCAUUUUGCAGAUUGGGUACGAAUUUUCAGCAAACUGACCAAAAUACUCUUAUUACUUUUUCUCUCCCCUUUUUCUCUCUACUAUUCUUUUCUCUUGUUUAUUUUUUUUUUCUCUUGCCAAAAAAAGUAGAGGAGGCAGAGGCGAAUGCAGAAACGGUCCGCCUCGUCUCUCACCCUCAUGCUCUCGUCCUUGCCCUUCCCCUCGCCCGCGCAACCCCCACCUUCCUCGCCUUCGACCCCACCGAGGCUGCACCGCGACUCUUUUUUUUUUUUUUUCCUCUUCGACCCUCAUCCACCGUCUCCGAUAACGACGCCUCUCUUGCCCUUUCCCGCCCUUCUUGUCUUCUCCCUCCUCCUCUGUCGCAUCCGACGACGACACAUCUUUGCCGACACCGACACUGUGGAGGUCGCUGCGGCGCUGCAGCCUCGGAGUGGGUGUUCCUUAGCGGCGUCGUCGCCGGCGCCGUGACUGUUGGCAGAGAGGAGUGACUAAAAAAAAUUAUAGAAGAAAUAAGAAAAAAAAUAAUGAUAAAAAAUUAUACAAAAAAAAAGAUGAAGAUGAAAUUGCAAUGUUAAAAUAAAAGUAUACUGUUUUAAAAAAACGUUGCACUAUUAUGGACAUAAGUUAUACUACUUAAUAUAUAAACUGCAGCUUUAAGAUGAUAAUUACACUCUUUAAAUAAAAAUUGUACUUUUUGAGAGAUAUUUACACUAUUUCUUCUCGUAUUGCAUUUUUUCAGAUGUAAAUUGCAUCCAUUAAGAUAAAAAUUAUACUCUUUAAACGAAAGUUGCACUCUUUGAGAGAUAUUUAUUUUGUUUCUCCUUUUGUUGCAGUACUCUUUGAGAUAUAAACUGCAUCCCUUUAAGAAAUAUUUAUACUGUUUUUCCUCUUGUUGUACCGUUUCUUCUCUUGUUGCACUAUUUCUUUUCUUGUUACACUAUUUUUUUUCUUAAAGGGUGCAGUUUAAGAGAAAAAAUAGUGUAACAAGAGAAAAAUAGUGCAAUAAAAAAAAAUAAUGCAACAAGAGGAGAAACAAUAUAAAUAUCUCUUAAAGGGGUGCAGUUUACAUCUCAAAAAGUGCAAUAAGAGAAAAACAGUGUAAAUAUCUCUAAAAGAGUGUAAUUUUCAUUUAAAGAGUGUAACUUUAAUCUUAAUGGAUGCAGUUUACAUCUGAAAGAGUGCAAUAAGAGGAGAAAUAGUGUAAAUAUCUCUUAAAGAGUAUAAUUUUCGUUUAAAAAGUGUAAUUUUUAUUUUAAAACUGCAGUUUAUAUCUUAAGUAGUGCAACUUAUAUCCAUAAUAGUGCAAUAUUUUUUUAAAACCGUGUCAUUUUAUUUUAACUGUGCAAUUUUAUUUUUAUCUUUCUUUUUCUAUAAUUUUUUAUCUUUAUUUAUUUUUCUUGCUUCUUCUCUAAUUUUUUUUUAUCACACCUCUCUGCCAGCGCCAGCGACGACGCAGCGAAGGACCCCCCGCUCCAAGUUGGCAGCACCGCAGCGACCUCCACGGUAUUGGCGUCGUCGUUGUCGUCGGACGGUGGAGGAGAGUCAAAGAGGAAAAAAAAGAAGAGUUGCGGUGCGGUCUCGGCAAGGUUGGAGGCGAGGAAGGUGGGGGGGUGCGCAGGUGCCGGCGAGGGCGAAAGCAUGAGGAUGAGAAGCAAGGAGGACCGUUUCCGCUUUCGCCUCUGCCUCCGCUGUCUCUUCGGCAAGAGAAAAAAAAAUGAACAAAAGAAAAAAAAGAGGGGAGAGAAAAAAUAAUAAAGGUAUUUUGGUCAGUUUGCUGAAAAUUCAGUCCGAAUCUGCAAAAUAAAAAAAAUUACCCACUUUUGUAAAAGCACAAAACUAAUGAAUUUUUUAUACAAAUUAGCCUAAUUUAAAUAAUAAUUAUGUUAUUUUUUAAAAAAUAAAUAAACAAUAUAUAUAUUUACGUGUGUGUAUUUGAAAAGUUUAAAGAAUAAAAAAAAACACUUCGUGGGUAAUUCGUAUACCUAUCCGCUUAAAUGUAAUUUUGUGGGUAAUUCGCAUACCUAUCCGCUUACAUGUAUGGAUAAGAAUGCUGACUAUUUAAAAAUUUUUGAAUAAAUUUUAUUCAUACCUAAAUAAAUCUGCGGAUAUAAAAAUCAGUCCAGCGCAUGAAUCAUUCAACACUAAAGUCAUCUUUUUAUACACGAGAUUUCUUUUUUUUGCAGGAUGUUUUCGUUGGUGGGAGCAAUACGUCCUCAGCCACUGUGGUAUGGUCGAUGACAGAGCUAAUGAGGCACCCGCAAGUGAUGAAAAAAGCUCAAGAAGAAGUGAGAAGCCUCGUCGGGGGGAAAGGAAAGGUAGAGGAGAGCGACAUCGACCCACUGCGCUACCUCAAGUGCGUUGUGAAGGAGACCAUGCGGUUGCACCCGGUGGCUCCCAUGCUGCUCCCAAGAACAACGUUGCGGCAUUUCAAAAUCGACAGCUAUGAUGUCCCGCUCGAUUCAAUGAUAUACAUCAAUGCUUGGGCAAUCGGAAGGGACGGGAGUUACUGGGAAUCGCCGGAGGCGUUCAAGCCGGAGAGGUUCAUGAAUAGCUCGGAUCUCGAGUUCGCCGGAAAGGACUUCAAUUUGAUACCAUUUGGGGAAGGUCGCAGGAUCUGCCCAGGGAAGAACCUCGGGCUCAAAACAGUCGAGAUCAUGCUCGCCAACCUUCUUUACUCCUUCGACUGGGAACUUCCAACGGGUAUGACGAAGGAGGACAUCAACAUGGAUGAGGCGCUGGGCAUUGCUGUGCACAAAAGACAUGCUCUCCGCCUUCUCGCCACCAGACAU